AUGCUUUCACAACUUGACUUCAAAAUAUUUGGUUUGGAGACCAUCAAAGAUCAAUAUGUGCAUGAUGCUGAUUUUAAAGAUGUAAUGCAGAAUUGUAAAGAAGGAAGAAUGUGGAACAAGUUUGUCGUUAACGAUGGAUUUGUGUUUCGUGCUAACAAGCUAUGCAUUCCAGCUAGCUCCGUUCGUCUUUUGUUGUUGCAGGAGGCGCAUGGAGGAGGAUUAAUGGGACACUUUGGCGUGAAGAAGACGGAGGACGUACUUGCUACACAUUUCUUUUGGCCAAAGAUGAGACGGGAUGUUGAGCGUUUUAUUGCUCGCUGCACUACAUGUCAAAAAGCUAAGUCACGACUCAAUCCUCAUGGUUUAUAUAUGCCUUUGCCUAUACCUAGUGUUCCUUGGGAGGAUAUAUCUAUGGACUUUGUUUUAGGUUUACCUCGAACAAAGAAGGGGAGGGAUAGCAUAUUUGUUGUCGUGGAUAGAUUCUCGAAAAUGGCACACUUUAUACCAUGUCAUAAAAGUGAUGAUGCUGUUAAUGUUGCUGAUUUGUUCUUUCGUGAAAUUAUUCGCUUGCAUGGUGUGCCAAAUACUAUUGUUUCAGAUCGUGAUACUAAAUUUCUUAGCCACUUUUGGAGAUGUUUAUGGGCUAAGUUGGGGACUAAACUGCUUUUUAGUACUACUUGUCACCCCCAAACUGAUGGACAAACUGAAGUAGUCAAUAGAACGUUGUCUACUAUGCUUAGGGCUGUUUUGAAGAAUAAUAAGAAAAUGUGGGAGGAAUGCUUGCCUCAUAUUGAAUUUGCUUAUAAUCGUUCAUUGCAUUCUACUAGUAAGAUGUGCCCUUUUGAAGUUGUGUAUGGUUUCCUACCUCGUGCACCUAUUGAUUUGUUGCCUCUUCCAUCUUCGGAGAAGGUUAAUUUUGAUGCUAAACAACGUGCUGAAUUGAUUUUAAAAAUGCAUGAGUUAACUAAGGAAAACAUUGAGCGUAUGAAUGCUAAAUAUAAACUUGCUGGAGAUAAGGGUAGAAAACAUGUUGUGUUUGCACCUGGAGAUCUUGUUUGGUUACAUUUGCGUAAGGAUAGAUUCCCAGAUUUGCGCAAAUCAAAGUUAAUGCCACGUGCUGAUGGUCCCUUUAAGGUGUUAGAGAAAAUAAAUGAUAAUGCAUAUAAACUUGAGCUGCCUGCAGAUUUUGGGGUUAGUCCCACUUUUAACAUUGCAGAUUUGAAGCCUUAUUUGGGUGAGGAAGAUGGACUUCCGUCGAGGACGACUUUAUUUCAAGAAGGGGAGGAUGAUGAGGACAUCAAUACAAUUGUUACACCCACAGCCCCUGCUGCUAUAAAUACUGGACCAAUUACUAGAGCUCGCGCACGCCAACUAAAUUACCAGGUACUUUCGUUUCUUGGUAAUGAUUCUAAUGUUCAUGAGAAUAUGAUGCUGCCUAAAUUGGAUACAUUUGUUUUGCUUACAAAUGAAGGGCCUAGCUUGGAGAAGGAUGAACAUUGGAUUAAGAACAAGCAUGGAGAUGAUGGCAUGCGCAAGGGGAACAAGAACGGAGUUACAAGUGAUGAUUUCAGGACUUUGAAGCCACCAUAA
This 1590-nucleotide ribosomal RNA is filed under the name Triticum aestivum (bread wheat). Its description in RNAcentral is "partial small subunit ribosomal RNA". The record is from RNAcentral. Lineage: Eukaryota; Viridiplantae; Streptophyta; Magnoliopsida; Poales; Poaceae.